UCGAGAAUCUUCGGCAAUGGGCGAAAGCCUGACCGAGCGACGCCGCGUGUGGGAUGAAGGCCUUCGGGUUGUAAACCGCUGUCAGAGGGGAGGAAAUCGGUAGGGGCUAUCCCCUACUGUUGACCUAUCCUCAGAGGAAGGACGGGCUAAGUUCGUGCCAGCAGCCGCGGUAACACGAACCGUCCGAACGUUAUUCGGAAUCAUUGGGCUUAAAGGGUGCGUAGGCGGUGCGGUAAGUUGGGUGUGAAAUCCCUCGGCUUAACCGAGGAACCGCGCCCAAUACUGUCGCACUUGAGGGAGACAGAGGUAAGCGGAACUGAUGGUGGAGCGGUGAAAUGCGUUGAUAUCAUCAGGAACACCAGUGGCGAAAGCGGCUUACUGGGUCUCUUCUGACGCUGAGGCACGAAAGCUAGGGUAGCGAACGGGAUUAGAUACCCCUGUAGUCC
Molecule: ribosomal RNA, 446 nt
Filed under: uncultured prokaryote
Description: bacterial SSU rRNA
Rfam family: Bacterial small subunit ribosomal RNA
Source: RNAcentral